AACUUAAUAUAAGUUCUAGCUGUAAUAAAAACCAUUAUUAUCAAUUAAUUAAUAAAGUUGAUGGUGAAAUAUUAUUAAAAUUAGAAUCAUUAAACGCAGUUUUGAAAUAUUAUAUUAAAAUGAAGAACAGAUCAACACGUCAUAAAUGGAAAGAUACAUUUCAGCUUGCAGAAGGGAAGAAAACGACGAGGAAGUGGAAAUGUAUUUUUAUGAAGCGACACAAAAAUGGAAUCUCAUGAAAUUAACAUAUGACUAUCGCCGUUCUAAAAUAUAAAUGAGAAAAAUUAUCAGAAUUUUGUAAUCGCUCGAUAAGGAACAAUAUAUCAUCGAACGUUUCUAAAAUAUAUAUAGUUAAAAAUUAAAUGAGACAACAAAUUAUCCAGGAAAACUCGGAAUUAUCUACAAAUGACAAUAAGCUUAUCUCUAAAAACAGUGAAAAAGAAAACGAAAAUGGAAAUGUCUACGAUUAUAGAAUCAUCUACUUUUGGAUAAACUGACAAAGGAGAUAAUUUUUGUGACAAAGAAAUAAAAGUAAGGAAGAAAAUACGAAAUUCUAUAGUAAAAGACAACAAAACUGCAACAAGAGACAUAACCUGCAUGUAAAGUAUCGUAAUUAGUUCUACUACAAAUUUGUGGGAAAAUUGAAAUUAGCAGUAAAGGAAGAAACCUUAAAUUAUGAAACAAAGGAAGAAAGUGAACAAGGAGAAAAACAUUUGCCGCGCUUCUCAUGUCCCAUUCUUCGAUUGACUUUUGUUAUGUACAAGUCGAGCCGUUAAAAUUUUGAAGAAAAACGGGCAUUAGGAAACAGGACCUAUGUACGAGAGACUACAGAGAAAUUUUAUAAAAAUAAUAUAUUAAAUAAAAUUUAAGUAGGGUAAAUAAUAAACGUAAAUUGUCGUUUCUCUGUUCACAGAGAAACAUGUUGUUGUUUAUCAUCUCAUCCAAAAUAAUAAAACAUAUUAUAAAACGACAAUUUUUGGUUUAUAAUGGCAAGAAAACUACAAUUCGUAUUUAAAUGUGUGGCAUCACCGAGCGAUAGAAAGACAAAUGUGAUUGCCAUAACCUCUAUCACAUCUGAGGAUAAAAAAAAUAUGUAGCCAGAAAAUGAAAAAUUUGCAAGUAACCACAGCGGACUAACAAAAACAGAAAGCUAUAAAAGAAUGAAAAAAAGGCUCAAUCAAAGAGGCCAAGAAAAAAAAAUAUGGAUUAAAUGCACAUAGGAAAUGGAGAGUACGUAUUUUGAUGAAGAUGACAGUAUAAUGUUUAAUAAUCUAUAUCUAGAAGAAAUAGUGGAAACAAACACAAUAGAACCCACACAGAAGAAAGAAUAUCAAAUAGAUUUAAAGUGUAUAUCAGAAAAAUUCAUGAUUAAAAAAUUUGUAUGUAAACACUCAAAUGCAGACAAGGGAUGGAGUACAAGUAUAUAUGCUAUAUCCUACAGAUAUAAAGAAGGUUCACUAAUGGAAUACGCUAUGAGGAAAGAAAAACUAUUACUGGAUAUGGACAACGAUAUCAGUAUAAAGAUUCUGAUGAUGCUUAUAGCAGCAGGAUUACCAGAAUUCAUAAGAGAUAAAAUAGAUAGAGAAAAUUGUCAAAGCUCAACAGAAUUAUUACAAGAAAUAAAAAAAUUUGAAAAUUUAGUAAGUAAAAACAGUUUUACAAAAAAGAAAGAGGAAAGACAAGAUAAUAAAAAGAAAUUUGAAGAAAAGAUACCAUGUAAGAAUUGUGAAAAACUAAACAAAGGUAUUAGAUAUCAUUCAGAGGACUCCUGUUGGUUCAAGAAGGAAAAUAAAAAGGAAAUCAGAAUUAAUGGAAGAAAUUCGAUGAUAGAAGUGGACCUAUGCAAGGAACAAAAAAACGGAUAACCACACCAUUGAUCAAAGUAAAGAUAGUAUUAGAAGAGAAGUUAGAGGUAAACGGAACAUAUGACCCAGGUUCCCAUGUCUCUCUAAUAAAUUUGAGACUAGUCAAAAUAAAAAAAAAGAGACAGAAGAUAAAAAUAAAAUUUAAAGAUGGUCAAUGAUGUGACAUAAACAAAAGGUUUAGUAACCAUUAAAGUAAAAAUUUUGGUUAAAAAGGAAUAAGUUGAUGUAUUUAUUGUAGAUAGAAAUAACUUUGAAGAUUUCAUUAUUGGGUUAGAUAUGAUAAAGAAAUUCAAACUAAUUCAUGAUGAAAACUUACAGAUAUCUCAAAAGAAAGAAACAUAAGCAAAAAAAAAAAUAUAAAUACAUUGGAUAGAAAUGAAGAAAUAAAAGAAGUUGAAGUAAAUUUUAACGAACAUGUGAAUGAAGACGAAUUUAGAUUGGAUUUGAAUCACUUGGACAAUACAAAAAAAAGGAUAAAAAAACUUAUAGAAAAGUAUAAUUUCAUAUUCGCAAAAAAUAAGUAUGAUGUAGGCACCGUUUCGGACUACGAAACUCGAAUAGGCUUACUGGUUAAUAAAUAUUGCAGUAAGAGGCCAUAUAGAUGCACUAUAGAGGAUAAAAAGGAGAUAGAAAAUCAGGUGGUAAAACUAUUAGAAAAUAAAUUAAUUGAAGAAUCUUAUAGUCCGUUUGCAGCACCAAUAACUCUAACAUUCAAAAGAGAUGAAAACAAACGAUCACGAUUGUGUAUAGAUUUCCGCAAAUUGAACAAGAUAGUUACACCACAAGCUUAACCAUUCUUAUUAAUAGAAGAUUUAAUAAACUAAAAACAAGAAACUGUAAAUACUUCACCUCAUUAGAUAUAAAUUCCGCUUUCCGAUCAAUUCCAUUACAUUUUGAAGGUAAAUAGAAAACAGGAUUCGUUACACAAGAUGGACACUUCCAAUGGACAUGUCUACCGUUCGGACUAAAAACAUCACCAGCUAUUUUCUAAAGAAUAUUAUCAAAUAUUUUAAGAAAGCACAAAUUGAAAGACUUUUCAGAUAAUUACAUAGACGACAUCUUAAUUUUUUCAGAAUCAUUCGAAGAACAUAUAGAACACAUAGAAAGAGUAAUGAAAGCAAUAGUAAAUGAAGGUUUCAGACUAAAAUUUGAAAAAUGUACAUUUGCAACAGAAUAAGUGAAAUAUCUCGGACAUAUUAUAGUAAGACUAGUGAAUAGAAUACAAUAAGACUAGUGAAAGAUAAUCUAAUCUCAAUACAAAAUUUUCCCACACCAAAAACCCAUAAAAAUAUUAGACAGUUUCUCGGAAAAAUAAACUUCUAUCAUGAAUAUAUACCGAAAAGCUCAAUACUGCUAGACCCAUUACAUAAACUAUUAAGAAAACAUGAGAAGUUUAUACCGUCUGAAGAGUGUGAGAAAACUUUUACAAAUAUAAAAAAAUUAUUAUGUUCUCAACCAGUAUUGCAAAUAUUCGAUAAGAAUUUACCUAUGAGAAUUUACACGGAUGCAUCACUAGAAGGCAUUGCUGCUGUAUUUAAGUAGAUACAAAGUGAUUGUAAGAAAAAGCCAGUAGCGUAUUUUUCAAGAAAAUUGAAUGAUUUGCAAAAAAGAAAAAAAAAGCAAUUUACUUUGAAUGCCUGGCAAUCAAGGAAGCGGUAAAGUAUUGGCAACAUUGGUGGAUCGGAAGAAAGUUCACGAUAUUUACAGAUCAUAAACCAUUAGAAAGUAUGAACAGAGAAGUUAGAACGGAUGAAGAACUUGGCAAGUUAACGUACUAUUUGUCACAAUAUGAUUUUCAAAUUAAAUAUAUUCCGGGAAAGAUAACGCUGAAUCAGAUAAUCUAAGUAGAAAUCCAUUACUGGAAUCAUCCGAAAAUACAUAAUAAAUGCUAAAAAUAGUUAAUCUAAUAAAAAUAAAGGAGAUAAAAACAGAUCAAAAAGAUUAUUAUAAACAUCAAGAACGCUCAAAAAUUUUUAACUACAGAUAUUGAUCCAGUGAAAAAAGUAAAGAAAUUCAAAUACGUAGGAGAAAUAAAUCAAGAAAAUGGUUUAGAAAAAUCUGCAGUAGAAGAAAGGUUACGCAAGAUGGAAAUAGCGUAUGGUAUCACUAAGAAUUUUUACAACAAAAAGUGUUUAUCACAAAAUCUUAAAAUAAGUCACUACGCUACAGUAGUGAAACCGGAAUGCUUAUACGCGAGUGAAUGCUUGGCACUAAAUUAUAGAUUAGAUAAACUAGAAGUAGUAGAAAGGAGAAUCAUGAGAAAAAUUUUAAGUCCAAUGAAAACAACAAAAGUAUGGAAAUUAAUAUCUAAUGAUGAAAUAUACAGAAACAUAGAAGGCAUAACAGAAACGAUAAGAAAAAGAAGACUGCAAUUUUUUGGCCAUAUUUACAGAAUGGAUGAGUCCAGACUAACAAAAAGGAUACUCAUGUACCUUUGGGAGAAAAAGGCAACAACUAGCUGGAUUCAAGAGGUAAAGAGAGAUCUAGAAAGAAAUAAUAUAAGUGAGGAAGAAACUAUAGACAGAGAGAUUUUUAGAAAGAGGAUAUUAAACAUGGAAGGAUUCCAAGUAAGAUUGAAGAAAAAACCUGGUGCGAAGUGGUCUGAGGACAGAAAGAAGUAGCAUAGUGAAAAGAUGAAGGAAUAUUGGAGGGAACGGAAAAGAAAACAGCUAAGUGUGAAGAAUUGAAAUUGGCACGUAGUCCCUAGCAGGUCUCAUCAAAAGAAGAAAAAGAUCAAAAAGAGAAUAGAACACUGCAGAAAACUAAAACAAAAUUAAUAGAAAAAGAUGGAGUGUUCUAUAAAAAAAAAAUUAGAAAUAAAGAAAAGAUAAUUUUAUUUGAAGAAUUAAGUUUAAAAUUAAUUAACACUAGAACUAACAACCGAUCAAAAUGACCAAUUAUAUUAAUUGUUCACAAGAUUUUGUCUUGAAAUUUUAUUUAAUAUUUUAUAAUAAUGUUAUGAUUUUUACUAAAUUCAUGUAUUUAAUGUUUCUGUGUGAUACUUUUUUAUUUUCUUAUUGGUAACUAUUGUAUACAGUUGAAAUACUUACAUUCAGUACAGUAUUCAAUCAUUUAUUUAUUGGCAGCUGUUAUAUACGGUUGAAAUACUUUCAAUAUUGUGGACAAUUCUGCUGAAUAUAUUUCUUUCAAUUUAUAGUUAUCGUAGCUUGAAAUGUAAGUAAAUUGUGAAUAUUUUUAUUAUAAUAAGGGAAAAUAUAUUUAGAAUAUUUUUAUCCAGAAACUUUACCUUAAAAAUGCCGAGACGUCCGAAAAUACCUAAAAUUUUAGAGAACAUAACAAAUAUAAGAGAAGACUUGAUAUCGACCAAGGUGAUUUUGACCCUGAGAUUGGACCAGCAGAUAUUUCAGAGAAUCAAUCAGAAGAAGAAGUGUGUUUCCUCAGACGGCAAUAAUGAAGAAGAGAACAUCCUGAAUGUACAUAGAUCAAGAAGACUUUUGAGAUUGUCGUCAUCUUCGGAUCAGAAUGACCGUCAACAAACUGAAAUUGCUCCUGAUGGAACUAUCUGGACAAAAAUAAAAGCUAGAUCCACUCCAGGAAGGAGAUCAAUAAAUAGCAUUUUCAAAGCAGUAAUUGGACCCACAGCAUAUACAAAACGAAGCAUAAUGAAGGCCACUGUAAGUAGUGCUUUUUUUUUUUUUUAUAAUUAAUCGACGAAUGAUGGAUUAUAUUAGAACAUGCAUAAAACUAGAAGCUUUUAGAGUUCUUGGUGAAAAAUGGAAUCUAUCUUAAGAAAAAUUUUCUUGCAAUUUUAUAUGCACGUGAUGCUUAUAAAGCUAAGAAUUUGAAAUUAUCUUAUUUAUGGUUUAAAAAGUGGGGACCAGCGUUUUUUUCGAAAACUAUGAGUAGAAAGGAGUUUACGGAUAUUUUAAAAUUUAACCACCUCGAUAAGAGAAAUGAACGGAGUGUACGAUUGCAAACGGAUAAAUUUGCAUUGAUUUCAAAUGUUUGAUAUUCAUUCAUUGAAAAUAGCCAGAAUUGUUACGUACCAGGAGAAAAUAUUACAGUCGACGAACAACUAUUUCCAAACAAAGCGAGAUGCCGAUUCAUGCAGUAUAUGCCGAACAAACCCGAUAAGUUCGGAAUAAAAUUUUGCUUGGCAUCUGAUCUCCAAAGUAAAUUUAUAAUAAAUGGGUUCCCGUAUUUGGGAAAGGACGAAACAAGACAGUCAUCAAUUUUUUUCAAGAUCCAUCUGAACUGGAAAACUCGAAUGAGCUCUUGAAGAGCCCCGAGAGUUCUAAUAUACGAAAAACUUGCCAAAUAGAUUUUUGUAAUGAAAAUAAAACUAUGACUAUAUGUGCUGGCUGUAAAAAACAUGUUUGUGGUAAAUGUACAUUGAAAAAAAUUUCUUUAUGCAAAAAUUGUGGUGAUCCAAAUAAUAACUAAACCUAAAUAAAAAACAAAUAAUAGUACUACCUUUUAUGUAAAUAGAUGUAUAUAUCAUGUACUUGCAAUAUUUGAAUGAAAUAUAUUUUAUUUUCUUUAAAACUUUUCUUUGAAUUUUUAUAUUUUGCCAACUAAAUAUCAGGCUGGACAAAAUGAACGGUUUGGUAGAAAUAGGUAUAUAACAACUGUUAGUAGUUCUAGUGUUAAAGAAAUACACUCUGAAUGGUGUCAUAUAGGGAUCAAACAAAUGAUAAACACGAUAUCUCCUUAUUAUACAGCUAAAGGUAUAACUGCAAACAUAAAAAAAAUUUGCCAGAAUUGUGAAAUAUGUAUUAAGAACAAAUUCAGAGGGCAAGGAAAAUAUGGACUGAUGUCACAAUUAGGACCAACAACAAAACCAUUUAAAAUAAUGUCAAUAGAUACCAUCGGAGACUUUGGAGGACAAAGAUCGAUAAAAAGAUAUCUCCACCUGCUGGUGGACCAUUUUACAAGAUACGCAUUUAUGGUAACAUCAAAAACCCAGAGUGCAAUGGAUUUCAUCAAGCUGAUAAAUAAAGUGCUAGAAACAGACAGAAUAUGACUAAUACUCGCAGAUCAAUACCCGGGAAUAAACUCAAGAGAAUUUAAGGAAUUCCUAAUAAUGACAAUAAACUAAUUUUUACGGCUAUCAACAUGCCCUUCUCCAACGGUCUGAACGAGAGAUUGAAUCAAACAAAAUAAGAUGCAGGAUAAAUGAGAAAGAAAAAAAAAAGCUUGGACAACGAUCGCUAAAGAAUGUUUGGAUAAAUAUAAUGAAACAGAGCAUAGAGUAACCGGCUUUACACCUAAGUAUUUGUUAGAUGGCACAAAUACCAGCAUUUUACCCGAAGAAAUAAAAAGAAGAAACAGUAAAGAAAAUUGGAUAAGAGAUAAAGAACUAGCUCUAGAAAGAACAAAAAAAUCACUCAAAUAUAACAAAAAGAUAUUUAACAAGAAUAGAAAGAAUCACCAGUUUAACACAGGAGAUCUGGUGUAUAUAAAAGAUGGCAAUAGGUUGAAUAGAAGGAAAUUAGACGAAUUGAGAAUUGGUUCUUUCCAAAUGGUAAAAAAAUAUCAGAAUCAAUAUACAAAAUAGAAACAGGAAAACGAAAACAAAAAACUGGAUUCUUUCACAUAACAAAAUUACUUCCAAUAUCAGAAGAUGGAGACGAGGACUAAAAAUUGUAGGAAUUUUAUCCUGGGCGGGGUGGAGAGAUGUAAAGAAAGUAUACUUUCUUGAUUUAGAUUUGCCGCGCUUCUUAUAUCCCGUCCUUCGAUUGACUUUUGUUAUUUGCAAGUCGAGCCGUUAAGAUUUUGAAGAAAAAUGGGCAUUAGAAAAUAGGACCUAUUUAUGAGAGAUUACAGAGAAAUUUUAUAAAGAUAAUAUAUUAAAUAAAAUUGUUCACAGGCUUAGUAAACAUCUUCAGUUAUAUGCACUUGCACCUCUGCUGACACGCUUUUCCAAAUUACGAUAAAUUCAUGAUACUGAUGUGAUAUUGCCACAUCUUGAUAUAUCUCAUACUUUUCCUCUGUGUUUCCACUGUGCAAUUGCUUCUUUUAAAGGAAUAGUGUUUUAUCGCUGAAGAAGAAGAAGAAGGAAAGGGCAGUCAGUUUUAAUUCAGUAGUCAACAAUCUUAAUUAAAGAAUGUCUGAAAUGAAUCUUUCCAGUCGGUUCAUAACUCUAUAAAUCUAUUAAUAUAUACAUAUUUGUGUCAUAUUUAAUCAAUUUUUACUCUUUAAAUUUUAUUAAUUGUUAACGAUUGACCUACACUAUUUCUUAUAAAUAUGUAGGAAGAGAAAUAAACUAUGAGAAUGUUUGGAUUGUCAGAAAAUAAGCGUAAAUAAUUUUUUAUUACAAACCUACAGGUAAUUUCUUUUAUUUUAUAGUAUUUCAUAUUA
Vespa mandarinia (Asian giant hornet) is the source of this 8186-nucleotide long non-coding RNA. The record is from RefSeq and is a predicted model, not a curated record. Lineage: Eukaryota; Metazoa; Arthropoda; Insecta; Hymenoptera; Vespidae.